UGAAAUAGCCUAAUUACAUACGAAUAUGAUGCUAAUUCAAAUCAAGAAUGAGCAGACAGAGCCUAUAUGUGACAAGCUCAUCGGGGUCUAGCCAAGUUUAUGUCAUCCGUAUCUAGUUAAAGCACCCCCACAUCGACCGGGUUGAGAAUACAUUUGAUCAAGAUUUCAGGAUUCGAAGCCAAUUCAUGAGUUUAGUCCAAGUCCAAAUAGGUUCGGAUUGGAAUCAGUUAAUCGGAUCUGCUUCCCUUCUAGCUUUUGGUAUUGAUUUCUAAGAAGUAACAAGAAUUCA
Molecule: long non-coding RNA, 289 nt
Filed under: Phoenix dactylifera (date palm)
Lineage: Eukaryota; Viridiplantae; Streptophyta; Magnoliopsida; Arecales; Arecaceae
Description: long non-coding RNA (PDAC_LNC003417)
Source: RNAcentral